This 3141-nucleotide ribosomal RNA is filed under the name Triticum aestivum (bread wheat). RNAcentral's name for it is "partial small subunit ribosomal RNA". Lineage: Eukaryota; Viridiplantae; Streptophyta; Magnoliopsida; Poales; Poaceae. The record is from RNAcentral.
AUGGUGCACAUAACAACCAACUUGGGGGUGGUGAUGGCGGCCGCAGUGGUGGCGAUGCUGACGUCGCCGCUCCUUGCUGGAGCAGAAGUUUCUCCGGUGGAGGCGCAAGGGAUGCCCGACUGCGACAUCACCUGUGGCAACAUGAGCGUGCCGUACCCGUUCGGCAUGGGCCCAGCCCGGUGCUACUGGCCGGGGUUCAACCUCACCUGCGACCGCGCAAGCAACCCGCCGCGGUUGCUGCUCGGCGACGGCACCCUUCAAGUCCAAGAGUUGUCCCUCAUCCCGACAUUUGUGGCCGUCAUACGCAUCGGCGACAUAAAAGUCGACGACCUCGGUGACGGCACACUCGGUAGUGGUCUUACGACCGAUGGCCCCUAUGCAAUUUCAUCCAACCAGUUUAUCCUGGUGGGCUGCAACGUUCAUGCGACGCUCAAGAACGGCGACGUGACCAUGAGCAGUUGUUAUUCUCGCUGCAAAAAUGGUGAUGGACUCUCCCAGGCGCGGAACACACUCGAAGCAGGCAUGCAAUGCUCUGGCAAUGGCUGCUGCCAGUCGGACAUUAUCUUCAACCCUGCAGAGGUAGCAGAAAGGCUUGUCAACAGCACGUCCUACGACGUGCAUCUCAAAUGGUUCGGCUCGAACCGGAGCACGGAUCAGCAGUGGCCCGCACUUGUCUUCGUCGCAAGUAAAGGCUGGUUCAGCCAUACACCAGUCUUCCACGAGCUGUUACGAACAGACGGCCCUGCAUCAGUGGAUGGGAUGCAAGUUCCCUUUUUGCUGGACUGGGAGGUCGUUCGCCAUGGCGCAGAAUGCCCCAACGUCUGCAAGAGCAAGUACAGCGAGUGCACAAAGGGUAAGAGAGGCUACACAUGCUUCUGCAACGACGGCUACCAAGGGAAUCCCUACAUCACCGACGGAUGCAAAGAUAUCAACGAGUGCAGUGAUCUCGGAUGGUACGACAAAUGUUAUGGUGAUUGUAUCAAUUUGGAUGGAUCAUUUCAAUGCCGGUGUCCGCCAGGAACACAUGGCGAUGCUACCCUGCCCGGUGGCUGCCUCAUUCCCAUCUCACGUAACUGCAGCACGUUUUGCGGUGACGUAUACGUGCCGUACCCCUUCGGCAUUGGCGCCGCCCAUUGUUACUGGCCAGGGUUCAACCUUACCUGUAAUACAGGCCAACAACCAGCAAAGCUACUCCUCGUCCUCAGCGACCCCGACUUCGGCAUGGACAACAACUUCCAUGUAACGGAGAUCUCCCUCCGGACCAACACGGUGCGCAUACUCCGCACCAAUGCCAUCAUGCCUAUCCCCUCCGGCCAGUCAAGCACUGUGUCUUUCUUUGGCAACUACUCGGAGGCACCCUACUCGCUAUCGACUGGUAACGAGUUCAUCCUAUCGGGCUGCAACCUUUAUGUGAUGCUGAUCGGGAAUGACACCGAGGAUGUCAUCAGCGGUUGUGCCUCCUUCUGCCCCUCCAGCAUCAGUGAAACCUUCUUCGGGACGGUAUUGCAGCGAGCAAACAGAGGAAGAUACUGCAACGGCAUGGGCUGCUGCCAAGCGAAUAUCCCCAUGUCCUCCAACGGCUUGCCCACGUCGUUGAUGGUUGUCAAUAGGAACCGCGACCAGGAGUUGACGUCGCAGCCCGCGUACACACUAAUUGCAGAGGAGGGGUGGUUCGAUCAGCGACGGUUGUCCAAGGAAAUAGCAGGGCGGGAGAAAUACGAAAUAGCCAAGGUACAGGUUCCCCAAGUUCUGCAGUGGGAGGUUAUACAGGACUUACCGCGGCCUGAUGAUAUGACGGCACAUCCGGGCUGUCCAGUGGAGGUAGCCCGCAAGCUCUGCAAGAGCAAGAACAGCUACUGUAAACGAGGGAGCAGAGGCUAUUUAUGCCAGUUUAUGGAUGGCUACGACAAGCCGGGCAGCAACCCCUACCUUCCCGACGAAGAUGGACGCAUGCCCUUACCUAUAGGUUUAUACCUCUGCAUAGGAGUUGCUGUUGGGGCAGUCAUCAUACUAUUUGUUCUCGCUGGAUCCUUCACACAUAAGAAAUUCAAACAUCGAAGAGCGCAGAUGUUGAAACAGAAGUUCUUCGAAAAAAACCGUGGACAAUUGUUGCGACAAUUGGUAUCUCAAAGAGCGGAUAUUACAGAGAGAAUGAUUAUAACCUUAGACGAGCUUGAGAAGGCAACAAAUAAAUUUGAUAAAGCUCGUGAGCUUGGUGGUGGGGGGCAUGGUACGGUCUACAAAGGAAUUCUAUCAGAUCUCCAUGUUGUAGCCAUCAAGAAACCAAAGGCAGCGAUUCAAAAGGAGAUUGAUGAAUUCAUUAAUGAGGUUGCUAUCCUAUCACAGAUCAACCAUAGAAAUGUGGUAAAACUCUAUGGUUGUUGCCUUGAAACAGAGGUCCCCAUGUUGGUCUACGAGUUUAUAUCCAACGGCACUCUCUAUGAUCAUCUUCAUGUUGAUGGACCAAGAUCAUUGUCAUGGAAUGAUAGGCUACGGAUAGCAACUGAGACAGCCAGAUCUUUAGCCUAUCUUCACUCAACAGCUUCAGUACCGAUCAUCCAUAGAGAUAUCAAGUCUGUUAACAUACUUUUGGAUGAUACUCUAACAGCAAAGGUCGCAGACUUUGGAGCUUCAAGGUAUGUUCCGUUGGAUAGAUCAGGGAUCACAACAAGAGUGCAAGGUACAAGAGGAUAUCUGGACCCCGGGUAUUUCAAUACCGGGCGUCUCACGGAAAAAAGUGAUGUGUACAGCUUUGGUGUCUUGCUUCUGGAGUUGUUGACUAGAAAUAAACCAUUUUCAUACAUAUCUUCAGAAGAUGAAGGCCUUGUUACACAUUUUUCUGCCUUAUUCACACAAGGCAAAUUAUCAGAGAUACUAGAUCCGCAAGUUAUGGAAGAGGGAGGCAGUGACAUGGAAGAAGUCGCAGCGCUUGCAGCAAUGUGUAUUGCAUUAAGAGGAGAGGAUCGUCCGUCCAUGAAGCAAGUGGAGAUCAAACUCGAAGGCACUCAAGCAUCCAGGGGACAUGAGGGGGGUGGUGUAAGAAAUGGUCCAUGGACUGCAGAUGGAGGUAGGAGCCAGGUAUUGUCCAGGCAGUAUAGUAUGGAAGAGGAGUUCGCUUCAUCUGCAAGGUAUCCUCGGUAG